Long non-coding RNA from Zonotrichia leucophrys gambelii, 716 nucleotides. RefSeq lists it as uncharacterized. The transcript is spliced from 3 exons. NCBI's taxonomy places the organism in Eukaryota, Metazoa, Chordata, Aves, Passeriformes, Passerellidae. The record is from RefSeq and is a predicted model, not a curated record.
AUCUGUGAUAAUAACAACCCCCCGGAGCCCCAACAGGAACUUAAACACACUGUAUUGGAACCCAUUUGAAAUCUGAAUUCAGUCUGUAUUCUGGAAAUCAUCCUAUCCAAGGAAUCCUGAAUGUCUGAAGCGUCCAGCUGGACCAGAGCAGAGGCCCACCUGUGCCACCCCUCUCUCACUGUCCAUGGCAGGGGAGGAUGGUUCAUUUAGAGACCACCAUGCAAGCCAACGGUCUGUCACCUUACACUUCCAGGACUGUACAGCAGCGUGUCCUGACUCAGGAAGUGGCACCCAGGUGAGAGGCAGCACUGGGAGUACAACUGCAGUCCCUGCUCAUGCACAGGAUGCACAGGAGUGUGGCACCAUCAGAUCUGCCCAGGCACUGGGAGCAUGCAGGGUACUGGCAGCAGGAGUGUGAGAUGUGCCCAGGUCUGGGUAAACUUCUCAAACACUGCUGUAAUAAAGGAUUUCAACAUUCAGUGUCCAUUUGUGAGGACAGCUCAACACCAAUUUCUUAAGAGCUGGUUGGGCUGUUGUUGGUUAUAGUGUGGGUGGUAUUUUUGUCUUGUUAAAGGAAAUGCAAUUAUCUUAUAAUUAUCACAGCUACUUCUGACACUCUCUUACAAGCUGUAAAUUCAUGGAUUAAAAUUACAGAUAGUAAUUUCAGAGUUCCCUGUGGUGCUUCUAAUACUCUCUGGUGUUUGCUGGCUCUGUGU